Molecule: ribosomal RNA, 427 nt
Filed under: Actinomyces sp. oral taxon 448
Lineage: Bacteria; Bacillati; Actinomycetota; Actinomycetes; Actinomycetales; Actinomycetaceae
Description: bacterial SSU rRNA
Rfam family: Bacterial small subunit ribosomal RNA
Source: RNAcentral
ACAAUGGGCGCAAGCCUGAUGCAGCGACGCCGCGUGAGGGAUGGAGGCCUUCGGGUUGUGAACCUCUGUCGCCGGUGAUGUAGGCUCUGCUUUGUGGGUGGGGUUGACGGUAGCCGGGGUAUGAAGUGCCGGCUAACUACGUGCCAGCAGCCGCGGUAAUACGUAGGGCGCGAGCGUUGUCCGGAAUUAUUGGGCGUAAAGAGCUCGUAGGCGGCUGGUCGCGUCUGUCGUGAAAUCCUCUGGCUUAACUGGGGGCGUGCGGUGGGUACGGGCCGGCUUGAGUGCGGUAGGGGAGGCUGGAAUUCCUGGUGUAGCGGUGGAAUGCCCAAUAUCAGGAGGAACACCGGUGGCGAAGCGGGUCUCUGGGCCGUGUACUGACGCUGAGGAGCGAAAGCGUGGGGAGCGACAGGAUUAGAUACCCCUGGUA